RNAcentral lists this transfer RNA (76 nucleotides) under Enterobacter ludwigii. RNAcentral describes it as "tRNA-Met". It matches the Rfam family "tRNA". Rfam says of the family: Transfer RNA (tRNA) molecules are approximately 80 nucleotides in length. Their secondary structure includes four short double-helical elements and three loops (D, anti-codon, and T loops). The record is from RNAcentral. Lineage: Bacteria; Pseudomonadati; Pseudomonadota; Gammaproteobacteria; Enterobacterales; Enterobacteriaceae.
GGCCCUUUAGCUCAGUUGGUCAGGGCGAGGGACUCAUAAUCGCCGGUCACUGGUCCAAGUCCAGUAAGGGCCACCA